GAUGAACGCUGGCGGCGUGCCUAAUACAUGCAAGUCGAACGCUGAUUAUCGAAAGCUUGCUUUUGAUAUGAUGAGUGGCGAACGGGUGAGUAACACGUGGGAAACCUACCUCUUAGCAGGGGAUAACAUUUGGAAACAGAUGCUAAUACCGUAUAACAGUUAAAACCGCAUGGUUUUAAUUUAAAAGAUGGUUCUGCUAUCACUAAGAGAUGGUCCCGCGGUGCAUUAGCUAGAUGGUGAGGUAACGGCUCACCAUGGCGAUGAUGCAUAGCCGAGUUGAGAGACUGAUCGGCCACAAUGGGACUGAGACACGGCCCAUACUCCUACGGGAGGCAGCAGUAGGGAAUCUUCCACAAUGGGCGCAAGCCUGAUGGAGCAACGCCGCGUGUGUGAUGAAGGGUUUCGGCUCGUAAAGCACUGUUGUAAGAGAAGAAUGACAUUGAGAGUAACUGUUCAGUGUGUGACGGUAUCUUACCAGAAAGGGACGGCUAAAUACGUGCCAGCAGCCGCAGUAACAC
This 518-nucleotide ribosomal RNA is filed under the name uncultured bacterium. Its description in RNAcentral is "bacterial SSU rRNA". It matches the Rfam family "Bacterial small subunit ribosomal RNA", at positions 28 to 526 of the family's 1533-position model. The record is from RNAcentral.